This 468-nucleotide ribosomal RNA is filed under the name uncultured bacterium. Its description in RNAcentral is "partial 16S ribosomal RNA". It matches the Rfam family "Bacterial small subunit ribosomal RNA", at positions 28 to 507 of the family's 1533-position model. The record is from RNAcentral.
GACGAACGCUGGCGGCGUGCUUAACACAUGCAAGUCGAACGGAAAGGCCCUGCUUUUGUGGGGUGCUCGAGUGGCGAACGGGUGAGUAACACGUGAGUAACCUGCCCUUGACUUUGGGAUAACUUCAGGAAACUGGGGCUAAUACCGGAUAGGAGCUCCUGCUGCAUGUUGGGGGUUGGAAAGUUUCGGCGGUUGGGGAUGGACUCGCGGCUUAUCAGCUUGUUGGUGGGGUAGUGGCUUACCAAGGCUUUGACGGGUAGCCGGCCUGAGAGGGUGACCGGCCACAUUGGGACUGAGAUACGGCCCAGACUCCUACGGGAGGCAGCAGUGGGGAAUAUUGCACAAUGGGCGGAAGCCUGAUGCAGCAACGCCGCGUGCGGGAUGACGGCCUUCGGGUUGUAAACCGCUUUCGCCUGUGACGAAGCGUGAGUGACGGUAAUGGGUAAAGAAGCACCGGCUAACUACGUG